GUUCAAAAUCCCUCAGCAACUAACAACUUUUCAUUUAAGAAGGCAUUUUUCAUUAUAGUAGGUUUGUUUCCGAGUUCCUCCCUGGCUAUCUUUUUAUUGAUUUUUGCCUCCCUUUGGUAGUUUAUUCAUUGGCCUUUUUGUUUCUUCUUUCCUUCUUCCUUUUCUUAGGCUCAUUGGUCUCUUAAUCUUAGGAUGGGUGGUUCCGAAAAAAUGGUAGUGGUCUGGUCUCCCGAUCCUUCU
RNAcentral lists this long non-coding RNA (240 nucleotides) under Elaeis guineensis (African oil palm). Its description in RNAcentral is "long non-coding RNA (EGUI_LNC010152)". The record is from RNAcentral. Lineage: Eukaryota; Viridiplantae; Streptophyta; Magnoliopsida; Arecales; Arecaceae.